This 492-nucleotide ribosomal RNA is filed under the name uncultured bacterium. RNAcentral's name for it is "partial 16S ribosomal RNA". It matches the Rfam family "Bacterial small subunit ribosomal RNA", at positions 29 to 507 of the family's 1533-position model. The record is from RNAcentral.
AGUGAACGCUGGCGGCAGGCCUAACACAUGCAAGUCGAACGGCAGCACAGUAAGAUUGCGCUCUUACGGGUGGCGAGUGACGGAUGAGUAAGGCGUAGAUCGCCAUCUAAUUUUACGUGGAGGACAACGGAAGGCAACUUCUGCUACUACCUCAUACGUCCUACGGGUGAAUGCAGUGGAGCAUCGGACCUUGCGCGUCUGAUUGAGCCGAUGUCGGAUUAGCUAUUUGGCGGGGUAAAGGCCCACCAAGGCGACGAUCCGUAGCUGGUCUGAGAGGAUGAUCAGCCACACUGGAACUGAGACACGGUCCAGACUCCUACGGGAGGCAGCAGUAGGGAAUAUUGGGCAAUGGGCGCAAGCCUGAUCGAGCAAUGCCGCGUGAGUGAAGAAGGCCUUCGGAUCGUAAAACUCUUUUGUUAGGGAAGAAAAACAGCAUGUGUAAACCCCGCCGUUUUGACGGUACCUAAACAGAAAGCAACGGCUAACUUCGUG